Molecule: ribosomal RNA, 508 nt
Filed under: uncultured bacterium
Lineage: Bacteria
Description: partial 16S ribosomal RNA
Rfam family: Bacterial small subunit ribosomal RNA
Source: RNAcentral
GACGAACGCUGGCGGCGUGCCUAAUACAUGCAAGUCGAACGCUUCUUUCCUCCCGAGUGCUUGCACUCAAUUGGAAAGAGGAGUGGCGGACGGGUGAGUAACACGUGGGUAACCUACCCAUCAGAGGGGGAUAACACUUGGAAACAGGUGCUAAUACCGCAUAACAGUUUAUGCCGCAUGGCAUAAGAGUGAAAGGCGCUUUCGGGGGUCGCUGAUGGAUGGACCCGCGGUGCAUUAGCUAGUUGGUGAGGUAACGGCUCACCAAGGCCACGAUGCAUAGCCGACCUGAGAGGGUGAUCGGCCACACUGGGACUGAGACACGGCCCAGACUCCUACGGGAGGCAGCAGUAGGGAAUCUUCGGCAAUGGGCGAAAGUCUGACCGAGCAACGCCGCGUGAGUGAAGAAGGUUUUCGGAUCGUAAAACUCUGUUGUUAGAGAAGAACAAGGACGUUAGUAACUGAACGUCCCCUGACGGUAUCUAACCAGAAAGCCACGGCUAACUACGUG